UCACACGGAAUCGAGAGCUCCA
RNAcentral lists this small nuclear RNA (22 nucleotides) under Arabidopsis thaliana (thale cress). Its description in RNAcentral is "snRNA_05607". The record is from RNAcentral. Lineage: Eukaryota; Viridiplantae; Streptophyta; Magnoliopsida; Brassicales; Brassicaceae.